GUCGAGCUGACGAGUCCCAAAUAGAACGAAAUGCACAUCCUGGAU
Molecule: non-coding RNA, 45 nt
Filed under: Trichobilharzia regenti
Lineage: Eukaryota; Metazoa; Platyhelminthes; Trematoda; Strigeidida; Schistosomatidae
Source: RNAcentral